Long non-coding RNA from Neodiprion virginianus, 1071 nucleotides. RefSeq lists it as uncharacterized. The record is from RefSeq and is a predicted model, not a curated record. NCBI's taxonomy places the organism in Eukaryota, Metazoa, Arthropoda, Insecta, Hymenoptera, Diprionidae. The transcript has 2 exons.
ACAUUACAUAGGAGCGCCGGGACGACGACACCGGCUAAAACUGAGCAUGACUACCGAAAAACUAGGCAUGCGCGAUUCGGAUUCCGAUACAUACAUUCGAUUACAUAUUGGGGUAUUACAAUUGCUCCGGAAAUGUUUUCAACUUUGUAAGGGUUUGUAAUUAUAGUUUAUUCGAGCGUUGCGAGUUACGUUAUUACUUGGAAUAUUGAUUGACACAACAACAUUUUUCUCAUUACAGAAGUAACACCGCUCAAUUGUAAUUCCAUGCCGAGGUUUGAACAAAGUUAACGUCUUUUUCUUUUUACUAUUUACUGUAACAAACGGAAUUGUAAAUUACACGCACAAAAUAAUAUACGAUACGAUGUACGUCGCUUCAGAACGGGUUUCGAGAAAAAUAUAGUGAAAAAUACUAUGAGAUCAACAGAGGAUAAUUUGGAUUUUCUGAAAAAUCAACUACUUACUUCACUCAUCAAUUCAUCAUAUUUAGGCGCAUCGGAGCUCGAACUUUAACUGAAAUUAACGCGUCAAAAUAAAAAAUAUCGUCAUUCUUCUGAUUGUUCAGAAUAGUCAAAUCUGGGAGAGUUUGAAUUAUUUUACAUCUAACAAGCUGUCAAUAGAUCGCGUAAGUUAAAGUUGCGAGGUGGACGUCGAAUCGAACAAUUGCCCCAAUGGCGGCACCUCGAUUAGUAGUUUGCUGAGAAUAGUGUUCAAAAGCCAGUCUUAUACUUAGUGCGAUCUAUAAUACUCCGUUUAUCGGUAAUGGAUAGUAUUUACGCAAGUAGAACUAAUAACACCAAUAACGUGUAAUAAAAGAUCGAUCGUGAAAGGUAUACCGAUGGAAUAAAGCAACAAUUAAACGCAUUGAUACAUCAUUGCUGGUGCAUUUGGAUUUUUUUAUUUGCUUUAAAUAUUUUCGACUGUCACAGGGUUGUCAUUAUUAUGUGUAUAUAUUUAUACAUAAUUUCAACGCUUAGUCUUGUAAAAUUGCUAAUUAUUGCUCGUUCACGAAUUUCAUCAUACAUUGUAUACUUAUCACUCAACAGUUUACACAUACACGAAAUACAGUAUGUA